GACGAACGCUGGCGGCGUGCUUAACACAUGCCAGUCGAACGGAAAGGCCCUGCUUUUGUGGGGUGCUCGAGUGGCGAACGGGUGAGUAACACGUGAGUAACCUGCCCUUGACUUUGGGAUAACUUCAGGAAACUGGGGCUAAUACCGGAUAGGAGCUCCUGCUGCAUGGUGGGGGUUGGAAAGUUUCGGCGGUUGGGGAUGGACUCGCGGCUUAUCAGCUUGUUGGUGGGGUAGUGGCUUACCAAGGCUUUGACGGGUAGCCGGCCUGAGAGGGUGACCGGCCAAAAUGGGAAUGAGGGACGGCCCAGACUCCUACGGGAGGCAGCAGUGGGGAAUAUUGCAAAAUGGGCGGGAGCCUGAUGCAACCACGCCGCGUGCGGGAUGACGGCCUUCGGGUUGUAAACCGCUUUCGCCUGUGACGAAGCGUGAGUGACGGUAAUGGGUAAAGAAGCACCGGCUAACUACGUG
RNAcentral lists this ribosomal RNA (468 nucleotides) under uncultured bacterium. Its description in RNAcentral is "partial 16S ribosomal RNA". It matches the Rfam family "Bacterial small subunit ribosomal RNA", at positions 28 to 507 of the family's 1533-position model. The record is from RNAcentral.